RNAcentral lists this ribosomal RNA (465 nucleotides) under uncultured bacterium. Its description in RNAcentral is "partial 16S ribosomal RNA". It matches the Rfam family "Bacterial small subunit ribosomal RNA", at positions 28 to 507 of the family's 1533-position model. The record is from RNAcentral.
GACGAACGCUGGCGGCGUGCUUAACACAUGCAAGUCGAACGCUUAACCCGCCUCGGUGGGGGAUGAGUGGCGAACGGGUGAGUAACACGUGGGCAACCUGCCCCCCGCUCUUGGAUAACACCAAGAAAUUGGGGCUAAUACCGGACGUGACCUCUGGCCGCAUGGUUUGGUGGUGGAAAGGGUUUCCGGCGGGGGAGGGGCCGGCGGCCUAUCGGCUUGUUGGUGGGGUAGUGGCCUACCAAGGCGACGACGGGAAGCCGGCCGGUGGGGGGAACAGGCAGAACUGGGACUGGAACACGGCCGAGCCUCCUGCGGGAGGCAGCGGUGGGAAAUAUGGAGCAUUGGGGGGAAGCCGGAGGCAGCGCGGCGGCGUGGGGAAGAACGGCCUUCGGGUGUAAACCCUCUUUCAGCAGGGACGAAGCGCAAGUGACGUUACCUGCAGAAGAAGCACCGGCCAACUACGUG